UGGGGAAUAUUGCACAAUGGGCGCAAGCCUGAUGCAGCAACGCCGCGUGAGGGACGACGGCCUUCGGGUUGUAAACCUCUUUUAGUAGGGAAGAAGCGAAAGUGACGGUACCUGCAGAAAAAGCACCGGCUAACUACGUGCCAGCAGCCGCGGUAAUACGUAGGGUGCGAGCGUUGUCCGGAAUUAUUGGGCGUAAAGAGCUCGUAGGCGGUCUGUCGCGUCUGCUGUGAAAACCCGAGGCUCAACCUCGGGCCUGCAGUGGGUACGGGCAGACUAGAGUGCGGUAGGGGAGAAUGGAAUUCCUGGUGUAGCGGUGGAAUGCGCAGAUAUCAGGAGGAACACCGAUGGCGAAGGCAGUUCUCUGGGCCGUAACUGACGCUGAGGAGCGAAAGCGUGGGGAGCGAACAGGAUUAGAUACCCUGGGUAGUCCACGCCGUAAACGUUGGGCGCUAGAUGUGGGGACCAUUCCACGGUUUCCGUGUCGCAGCUAACGCAUU
Molecule: ribosomal RNA, 497 nt
Filed under: uncultured bacterium
Lineage: Bacteria
Description: partial 16S ribosomal RNA
Rfam family: Bacterial small subunit ribosomal RNA
Source: RNAcentral